Molecule: transfer RNA, 72 nt
Filed under: Camelus bactrianus (Bactrian camel)
Lineage: Eukaryota; Metazoa; Chordata; Mammalia; Artiodactyla; Camelidae
Also listed under: 2 other names
Rfam family: tRNA
About the family: Transfer RNA (tRNA) molecules are approximately 80 nucleotides in length. Their secondary structure includes four short double-helical elements and three loops (D, anti-codon, and T loops).
Source: Rfam by way of RNAcentral
GGGGAGAGGGUACAGUGGUAGAGCACAUGCCUAGCAAGCACGAGGUCCUGGAUUCAAUCCCCAGUACCCCCA